CAUAGAUAACUAGCCCAUUUUAUACAAGUGAUAAAAAGAAGAAUAUUUCAUACAAUACAUUGCAAGUUUAACAAAAUAAUAGAGAAAAUACAAUAUUACAGCAACACCCCCUUUUUGUUGGAUUUUUUAAGAUGAAAAUUCCUUGCUUGUGAUUUUCCCAACCAAAUCAUUUGAUUGCUCCUCCUUGUGCUCUUGAUUUGCUCUAAAAUACUAGGAAAAAUUAAAAGAAGAAGAAGCAAAAAAUGAGGAGGAAAGAAAACGAAAGGAAAAUGAAAACAGGGGAAAAAAAUCCUAGCUUAAGCCCCGAUCCUGUUUUCAUGAUUAAACCCUAGCAAACUUUGCACCCAAGUCUUUGGAUUUUUAGAAAGUGAGAAAACAAUUCCAGGGUCCUAUUUUUAAUUAUAUCUCGGUGCUAAGGCACCGAGUUUCUGUCAAUCAGCCUAGAAAAGAUGGUUUUGUGUCAUUUACAGCUUAGUCCUUAAGAUAAUUGCAUGCCAAGUUUCUCAAUUUUGAUCUUGUACAAUUUGGUCCUCAGUUUUGACUUUUAUAUCAAUUUUGUCCUCCAUAAAUUGCAGUCCAGAGUCCUCAACGUUUGGUACUUGUGCACUUUGGUCCCCAACUUUACAAUUUUUUUACGCUUUUAGUCCCUUUUCAUUCUCUUUUGCUUUGUUCUCUUACCUUCAAUGAUUUUUACCUACAAAAACAAUAAUUACAUAAUUGUGAAUAACAAUUCGCUUAUUUAAUUAAUAUUUAAGCUUAUUUAGGUAUCAAACAAGUGUGCAAAAACAUACUUAUUAAAUACCAAAAACUUAAACUUUUGCUCGUCCUGAGCAAGAUUAUCAAUUAUUACAAUCAUGAAAAAUGAGAUAAAGAUCAACACAUUAUAUAGCUUGCCAAAAAUAUCAAUGUGUAAAAUUGUAUAAUCAAUUCAUAAGUAUGCUCCAAAUAAUGCUAGGAAAAAAUAAUUUAAGCUCAUCCAAUAUUCGAUUGGUGUGUGUGGGCAUAGUCACUUUCAGCUAUCAUCUAAAUUAGGAAAAAGUUGUCAAGAUGGAAAAUUUUUUAAAUUGGCUCUAACCCUACCCUUUGUGGUCAAAUAUUUCAUUUCCUACUUGUGAGAUUCACACUCCUCAAAUAGAUAUAGUUCUUUUUUUCCCCCAAAGUAUAAAUCUAAAGGUUGCUCUCCAAUCACUCAUUUCUAUCUUCUUCUUCUUUUCGCUCUAAUUUGGUUGGGUCUAAUCGAUAAUCUCAACAUCUAGUCAUGUGAUGAUUUUCCAAUGAUAAGUGCUUCCACAUUCAAGUUUAUACUAAAUAAUUCAAACUCACUAGUUAUCUAGACUCAAAUAUCAAAUACAAUUGCAUAACAACUAUUGUUUUUUUCCAGAUCCCAUGUUUUACACCACUCUCUAAAGUUUUUUUCUUGACCCUUGUAGCGAGUUUUAUGUCAAUGAAGUCCCCAGUCGUUUAGGCCAAAGGGUACCGAAUUUUGAGAUUUCCCUAUGGAUUAAUAACUCAAGUUAAAAAGGCUAUGAAGUGAGGCCUAUGAUUCAACAAGUGCAAUAACAUUUUUUUUAAGUACAACAAAAAUGAGACUUAGAUCUCUAGCAUAUUGUUAUUACCUAACUUAUACUUGGCAAAAAACACUCCACACAAAUAUUUUCAACAUGCAUGGAAUCAACACACUUCUGGAUAAUAUCUUUCACUGGCCCGAUCACCCCUAAACUUAUCUCACAAUAUGAUUAAGUGAAAGAGAAAUAGAUAUAGAUUGGUAUAGAUUUUCAAACAUCUCACAACCUCUUUCAACCAAUUCAAAAAUCUCUCCAAUAAUUAAAAAAUUUUCACAUCUAGAUAACAUUUAGUCAUGACUAUUGAACUCAAACUAAUUCAGAAUUUUAAAAUGAAUAAGUAGAAAAAAAAAA
This 1916-nucleotide long non-coding RNA is filed under the name Olea europaea (common olive). RNAcentral's name for it is "long non-coding RNA (OEUR_LNC009352)". Lineage: Eukaryota; Viridiplantae; Streptophyta; Magnoliopsida; Lamiales; Oleaceae. The record is from RNAcentral.